GCUGCAACUCCAUGGCCUUCAAGUCUUCUAAAUCGUAUUCAUCUUCCUCAAUGAUUUCUUCUUCUACAUCGUCAGCCCUGACCACAAACAUUCGUAACUCGCGAAUCUCCCUUGCCUUGCACUUGUGCCCGGAGUAAUACUUCUCAUCACACUUAAAACAGAGUCCCUUCUCUCUCUUGGCCUGGAAUUCCGCGUCCGAUAGUCGUCUAGAGGGUCCUUCUUUCCUAACCUCCUUCGCCGGCGA
RNAcentral lists this long non-coding RNA (244 nucleotides) under Cucumis sativus (cucumber). RNAcentral's name for it is "long non-coding RNA (CSAT_LNC003132)". Lineage: Eukaryota; Viridiplantae; Streptophyta; Magnoliopsida; Cucurbitales; Cucurbitaceae. The record is from RNAcentral.